UACGUAGGUGGCAAGCGUUGUCCGGAUUUACUGGGCGUAAAGGGAGCGUAGGCGGAUACUUAAGUGGGAUGUGAAAUACCUGGGCUUAACUUGGGUGCUGCAUUCCAAACUGGGUGUCUAGAGUGUUGGAGAGGAAAGUGGAAUUCCUAGUGUAGCGGUGAAAUGCGUAGAGAUUAGGAAGAACACCAGUGGCGAAGGCGACUUUCUGGACAAUAACUGACGCUGAGGCUCGAAAGCGUGGGGAGCAAACAGGAUUAGAUACCCUGGUAGUCCACGCCGUAAACGAUGGGUACUAGGUGUCGGAGGUCUCGACUCCUCCUGUGCCGCCGUUAACACAAUAAGUACCCCGCCUGGGGAGUACGGUCGCAAGAUUAAA
Molecule: ribosomal RNA, 376 nt
Filed under: uncultured bacterium
Lineage: Bacteria
Description: bacterial SSU rRNA
Rfam family: Bacterial small subunit ribosomal RNA
Source: RNAcentral